RNAcentral lists this ribosomal RNA (307 nucleotides) under Olea europaea subsp. europaea. RNAcentral describes it as "SSU_rRNA_microsporidia". It matches the Rfam family "Eukaryotic small subunit ribosomal RNA", at positions 801 to 1113 of the family's 1831-position model. Lineage: Eukaryota; Viridiplantae; Streptophyta; Magnoliopsida; Lamiales; Oleaceae. The record is from RNAcentral.
CAUUUGAUGUUGAAUAACAUUAUAGGAUUUCAAUCUUAUUAUGUUGACUUUUGGGAUCGUAGAGAUUAACAAGGAUAGUCAAUGGCAUUUGUAUUUCAUGGUAAGAAAUGAAAUUCUUGAAUUUAUAAAAGACAAACAACAGUGAAAAUAUUUGUCAAUGAUGCAUUCAUUAAGAACGAAAGUGGAGGGAUCAAAGACGAUCAGAUAAUAUCCUAGUCUCAACCAUAAAAUGAUACCGACCAAGGAUUGACAAAUGUUGCUUGUAGGACUCUGCCGAUACCUCAUGAAAUAUCAAAAUUUUUGGGUU